UUUUGGAAAGACAUAUAUCAAUGACAUCUUCUUAUUAUAUAAAGUACGGUUUUGAAAGUUACUAACUCACGAGAUCAUAACACAUGGUUAUUUGAACGAUCUAAGAUUUUGACAUGUGUUUGAUUUUUUU
This 130-nucleotide small RNA is filed under the name Arabidopsis thaliana (thale cress). Its description in RNAcentral is "ATSL219320". Lineage: Eukaryota; Viridiplantae; Streptophyta; Magnoliopsida; Brassicales; Brassicaceae. The record is from RNAcentral.